This 370-nucleotide unclassified non-coding RNA is filed under the name Fusarium verticillioides. Its description in RNAcentral is "partial contains 28S ribosomal RNA, 28S-18S ribosomal RNA intergenic spacer, and 18S ribosomal RNA". Lineage: Eukaryota; Fungi; Ascomycota; Sordariomycetes; Hypocreales; Nectriaceae. The record is from RNAcentral.
GGCGCGGUGUCGGUGUGCUUGUAUUUGAGGAAGAGAGUUGUCCGGAGGUGGAGGGCGGCCAGGAAAUCCGACGCUCACCCGGGCAUGGGAACGGGUUUCGGCCCGGAUUCUGGUGCGGUGCAGGGUAGGCAGGUCUGUAUAGAUAGUCUAGGGUAGGUACAGGGUAGGCACAGCGUAGGUAGAAGUCUGGUAUAUAGUAUGGGCGGGUGUAGGGUAGGCUCAGACACCGAUCCGUUUCGCGCCCUCACCUUUGCUCGGAAAACGACAAUCUUGGCCGGGAUGCAGGUCUAGGGUAGGCUGAAUCUAUGAUUAUAUAAGCUAUACUGCUCUAGGGUAGGUGAAGAUCCCAUAGAAAUCUGAUCAGAAUUGG